Molecule: ribosomal RNA, 497 nt
Filed under: Parhippolyte uveae
Lineage: Eukaryota; Metazoa; Arthropoda; Malacostraca; Decapoda; Barbouriidae
Description: partial large subunit ribosomal RNA
Rfam family: Bacterial large subunit ribosomal RNA
Source: RNAcentral
GUCUGGGUGUAAAUAUGCUCAGUCUGACCUGCCCGCUGACAAUACGUUGUUGAAGAGCCGCGGUAUCUGUAACCGUGCGAAGGUAGCAUAAUAAGUUGUCUUUUAAUUGAAGGCUGGAAUGAAUGGUCGAACGAGAAGCCAGCUGUCUCUUUAGUGAUAAUUGAAUUUUACUUUUAAGUGAAAAGGCUUAAAUGCCACGAGGGGACGAUAAGACCCUAUAAAGCUUCACGAUUACUUUUGUUGUUCCCGAAUUUGAGUGUAAAGGGGGCAAGUAUGGGUGUCGUUGCGUUGGGGCGACGAGAAUAUAAAUUAACAACUGUUCUUGGAAUGAAACGGCUGUGGCCGGUUGAGUUGACCCUUUAUUAAGGAUCACAAGAUCAAGUUACUUUAGGGAUAACAGCGUUAUUUCCUUUGAGAGUUCAUAUCGACAAGGUAAGUUGCGACCUCGAUGUUGAAUUAAGGUUUCAUCCGGGUGUAGAAGCUUGGACGGUGGGUCU